RNAcentral lists this ribosomal RNA (404 nucleotides) under Actinomycetes bacterium. RNAcentral's name for it is "Actinobacteria bacterium partial 16S ribosomal RNA". It matches the Rfam family "Bacterial small subunit ribosomal RNA", at positions 355 to 776 of the family's 1533-position model. The record is from RNAcentral. Lineage: Bacteria; Bacillati; Actinomycetota; Actinomycetes.
UGGGGAAUAUUGGACAAUGGGCGCAAGCCUGAUCCAGCCAUGCCGCGUGAGUGAUGAAGGCCCUAGGGUUGUAAAGCUCUUUCACCGGUGAAGAUAAUGACGGUAACCGGAGAAGAAGCCCCGGCUAACUUCGUGCCAGCAGCCGCGGUAAUACGAAGGGGGCUAGCGUUGUUCGGAUUUACUGGGCGUAAAGCGCACGUAGGCGGACUUUUAAGUCAGGGGAGAAAUCCCGGGGCUCAACCCCGGAACUGCCUUUGAUACUGGAAGUCUUGAGUAUGGUAGAGGUGAGUGGAAUUCCGAGUGUAGAGGUGAAAUUCGUAGAUAUUCGGAGGAACACCAGUGGCGAAGGCGGCUCACUGGACCAUUACUGACGCUGAGGUGCGAAAGCGUGGGGAGCAAACAGG